GGCACCUGUCGGCAGUCAGCUGAGCACAGACUCACCUGAGGAGCAGCAGAUGGAGUCCGGGCAGCUUUCAGCUGCAGAAGAACGCAGGAAUGAAUUGGAGGAAGGGGGCGUGGCCUGUUCCGUGAUAGUGUGUGACAUCAAACCAAAAGUUCCAGGUGUGAAGGAUAGAAAGAACGACCCCUGGUCAUGUGACAGCUCUGCAUCUUCCUCCGACAGUGAGGACGAUGAUAAAAACAAGAAGAAGAAGAAGAAAAAGCUGAAGAAGAAAAGAAGCAAGAAGUUCAGCUCAUCUUCCUCAUCAUCAUCAUCAUCAUCAUCAUCAUCAUCUUCCUCCUCUUCAUCCUCAGAAAGUGACAGCAGUGAGGAUGAAAAGAAGAAAAAAAAGAAAAUGAAAAUCAGCGAAACGGCAGAGCUGGGGAUUCUAGCAGAAACAGGUCUGGAGGGAAAUACUGAAUUAACUCCUGCAGGAGAAACUAAAGGAGACGAGGAGAAGAAAAAGAAGAAAGACAAAGACUCCAGCUCUUCUUCUUCAUCCGACAGCAGCUCCUCAUCCUCCUCAGACUCAGACAGCGACGAUGACAAGAAGAAGAAGAAGAAGAAGAAGAAGAAGAAGAAGAAGAAGAAGAAGAAGAAGAAGGAUUCAUCUUCAUCAUCAAAUAGCUCUUCAUCAUCAUACAAGAAGAAGAAGAAGAAGAAGAAGAAGAAGAAGAAGAAGAAGAAGAAGAAGAAGAAGGUAAUGAUAGAAAUGAGCUACCUGGCCUGAAACCUAAAUGAAUGUGUUUGUGGAUUCAUUCUUGUCUGUGAUUAUUAAGAUGUCAUUUGCUAAGAAAAUGAAUGUAAAUGCAGAUUAAUCUCUCAAUCCUCAGGAUUCAUCAUCAUCAUCAUCUUCAUCUGACAGUGACCAUGACAAGAAGAAGAAGAAGAAGAAAAAGAAAAAGAAGAAAAAGAAGAAGAAGAAGAAGAAGAAAGUGAAGGUCAGAUUCAUUUACGUACACUGAAAAAAAAAUUGAUGUAGAAACAUUUUUCACAAAUUGCUGGUAGAUGUCACAAAGCAAUUUCAUAACAUAUAAAAUUUUGAAUUAAAAACUAAUAGUAUUUUCUUGUAAAACAUAUUCCAAU
This 1119-nucleotide long non-coding RNA is filed under the name Sinocyclocheilus anshuiensis. Its description in RNAcentral is "lncRNA (ENSSANG00000045070.1)". Lineage: Eukaryota; Metazoa; Chordata; Actinopteri; Cypriniformes; Cyprinidae. The record is from RNAcentral.